RNAcentral lists this long non-coding RNA (434 nucleotides) under Zonotrichia albicollis (white-throated sparrow). RNAcentral describes it as "lncRNA (ENSZALG00000013270.1)". Lineage: Eukaryota; Metazoa; Chordata; Aves; Passeriformes; Passerellidae. The record is from RNAcentral.
CAAUCACAUUCCUGGAGCUCCACAGAGGACACUGCCCUGCUCAUUGUUGCCGCUCUUGCUGAGAGAUGCUUCACAUCAGAAACAUGAGUGCAGCAGGAGAUAUCCAUCCCAAGUGGCACCAAAGAGAGAAAGGAAUGAAUUCCUCAUGGAAGGCGCUCUAUGGACAAUUCCUUUUUAUCUUCACAAGUCCUGGAGAAACAGCAGUGGAUUGCCCUGCCUUACUUCACCCCUGGGCUGGUCCCCUGCAUGUGUCUCUCACAUAAGGAGCUCUGAUUGCUCUCCUCCUUUUCUGUUAAAAACAUCCAAGAUUACAACAUCUGCAGCUAGGUAGAAAUAUUUAUCACUUGAGAACAUAACAUAAAGACAUCUGAAGAGUGAGAUUGGAGAACAACUGCUGAUUUUGUCACUGAUGCUACAAAAUUUAGAAAUGCUAA